This 346-nucleotide ribosomal RNA is filed under the name uncultured bacterium. RNAcentral's name for it is "partial 16S ribosomal RNA". It matches the Rfam family "Bacterial small subunit ribosomal RNA", at positions 338 to 676 of the family's 1533-position model. The record is from RNAcentral.
CCUACGGGUGGCAGCAGUGGGGAAUAUUGCGCAAUGGGCGAAAGCCUGACGCAGCGACGCCGCGUGAGGGAUGAAGGUCUUCGGAUCGUAAACCUCUGUCAGCAGGGAAGAACGGUCACUGGGCUAAUCAGCAGUGAAGUGACGGUACCUGCAAAGGAAGCACCGGCUAACUCCGUGCCAGCAGCCGCGGUAAUACGGAGGGUGCGAGCGUUAAUCGGAAUUACUGGGCGUAAAGCGCUCGUAGGCGGGAUGUCACGGCAAGGGUGAAAUCCCCGCGCUCAACUUGGGAACUGCCUUUGAAACUGGCAAACUGGAGUGUGUGCGAGGCUCGUGGCAUUCCAGGUGU